GGGUGACAUUAAUGCGAGCCCAGUAAUCACUCAGAGAGAAGAGCUAAGCCCAAGGGUGACUUCAGUCUGAGACAUGGCCAAGUGUCAUAGAAAGUGGAAAAACUGAAUCAACUGUAUAUUUCUCCAGGUGAAAAGGCCACAAAAAUCACAGAUGUUUAAACUUGGAAGGAAACUUCUUAGAAGCACUUUCUUAUAUAUCACAUGAUCCUUUGUGUUGGGACCUACGACUGGAAUUCACUGGGAACUAAAUUUCUCCAAGUACUAUGUGUUCCCCUUUGCUGGAAAAGACUGAGUGGAUGAAGACCCAAGAUUAGAAAACUGAGGAAAAUUAGAGAAGUUGAAAAAUUGACUCAAGAUUUCACAAGUGCUGACUGGUGGAGCUGGGGUUUGAAGUCAGGCCCUUCAUCUCUGGAGCCUGCCUGAUCCGCUCAGCCAGGCUGUCUCCUUUCCAGCAGCCCUGCCCUGGGGACCUGAGGCAAAUCUACAGAAGGUCAAUAAGCUCCUCAAUAAAACAGCAACUGGCACCAACGGCAACUACGUUAACAAUGGUUAAGAAAUAUUGAGAUCUUAA
RNAcentral lists this long non-coding RNA (571 nucleotides) under Equus caballus (horse). Its description in RNAcentral is "lncRNA (ENSECAG00000055375.1)". Lineage: Eukaryota; Metazoa; Chordata; Mammalia; Perissodactyla; Equidae. The record is from RNAcentral.